ACUCAAAUGAAUUGACGGGGGCCCGCACAAGCAGCGGAGCGUGUGGUUUAAUUCGAUGCGACGCGAAGCACCUUACCCAGGCUGGACACGCGCCCGCACCGCCCGUAGCGGGGCGUCCCCGCAAGGGGCGGGCGCGCAGGUGCUGCAUGGCUGUCGUCAGCUCGUGCCGUGAGGUGUUGGGUUAAGUCCCCUAACGAGCGCAACCCCCGGGGCCGGUUGCCCGCAAGGGUCUCUCCGGCCCGACUGCCGCGCGCAACGCGGAGGAAGGUGGGGACGACGUCAAGUCAGCACGGCCCUGACGCCUGGGGCGACACACACGCUACAAUGGCCGGGGCAGCGGGACGCCAGGCGGCGACGCCGCGCCAAUCCCCAAGCCCGGCCCCAGUUCGGAUCGCAGGCUGCAACCCGCCUGCGUGAAGCCGGAGUUGCUAGUAACCGCGGGUCAGCACACCGCGGUGAAUGCGUUCCCGGGCCUUGUACACACCGCCCGU
Molecule: ribosomal RNA, 491 nt
Filed under: uncultured bacterium
Lineage: Bacteria
Description: partial 16S ribosomal RNA
Rfam family: Bacterial small subunit ribosomal RNA
Source: RNAcentral